GUGACCAGCUGGCAGGAUGGGGACUGCGGCAGGGUCUCCCGCACCCAGCGUGUCUUGCCGUGUUUCGGGGUUCACCGCUGCAGGCUGAGGUCACCAAAAAGAGACCGAAAGCAUAGAGAGGGGUAACUGGCAAAAGGCAGAGCUCUCCGCUACUGUAGAUGGGGCGCUGGACAUGUUGCCUUUGCUCCAGAGUUGCAGAUUCGUUGAUGCUGCUCCUGGUGUUGGCUCUGAGCUGUAACCCUUCCACAGCAGCAACAGCUUCUCCGUCUGCGCCCCACACCAAACCCAGCUACAGUUUUGGCCGGACUUUCCUGGGACUUGAUAAAUGCAACGCCUGCAUUGGGACAUCCAUUUGCAAGAAAUUCUUUAAAGAAGAAAUAAGGUUUGACACCUGGCUUUCUUCUCAUUUAAAGCUGCCACCCAGCUACCUGCUCAGCUACUCGGGCAACUACACUGACGAUGCCAAGAGCUGGCGGCUUGUGGACAUCACCCGGCUGACCUCCAAGUACCGGCACGACCGGGCUGACAAGCGCAUCUGCACCUCCCUGCUGAAGACCAAGACCUGCAGCCUGGAGCGCGCCCUGCGCCGCACGCAACGCUUCCAGAAAUGGCUGCGGGCCAAGCGCCUCACCCCCGACCUGGUCCAGGGCCUGUCCAGCCCAAUGCUGCGCUGCCCAUCCCAGCGUCUCCUGGACAGGAUAGUGCGGCGCUACGCUGAGGUGCCAGAUGCUGGCAGCAUCUACAUGGACCACCUCACUGACCGGGACAAACUGCGCCUGCUGUACACGCUGUCAGUGAAUUCACACCCCAUCUUGUUACAGAUCUUCCCCGACGUGGAGGGAUGGCCCUUCCCGCGGUACCUGGGCUCCUGUGGGCGGCUGGUGGUCAGUGCCAGCACCCGGCCCCUGCGCGACUUCUACAACGCAGCUCCCGAGGUGGCCGCCGACCUGGCCCUCCAGCUCCUGGCCGUCCUCCGCUCCAUGGGCACCAAUGACCUCAACUAUUUCUUCUACUUCACCCACGUGGACGCUGGCACCUUCGGUGUAUUUAGCAACGGGCAUCUGUUCAUCCGGGAUGCCAGCACGCUGGGGAUCAUUGACAAGGAGGAAGGGAGCCAGCUGAUUGACAGACAACAGGAGUACAAAGAUAUAUUUAGCUGUUUGACUGUGGACUGCCAGUCUGCAUUUGUGUCCUGUAACUCCAUCAGAGAGAAGCACAGCCUCGUCAUGGUGUGUCAAGAGCUUUUGCCUAAGCUCCUGAAGGGGAAAUUCCUGCAACCCGUGCAGGAGAAAAUAGACAGCUUCCUGCAGCACUGCGCCGAUGGCCUUGCCGAUGACCAGGGCAUCAACGAGGCGGUUGCAGAGCUGGCAGAGAUCCUGAAACCUCUACGGUCUUGCGAUUCCCGUUUUGCCUACCGCUACCCUGACUGCAAAUACAGUGACAAAUACUGAUGGCUUUGGAGAAGGAGUCCCCUGGGAAGGACUGGGGCAGUGUCGGCCCCCUGCCAGCGCGGGAAGCAAGAAGGAACCAGGAUAGCUGGAAAGAGCUGCACCAAAUCUGGGGCUUCCUCAUCAAGGCGGAGAAUGAGGGAGCAGAGUGUACAUGGGAUUUAUUGUUCAUCUCCCAGAGAUGCAUUUGUUACAUGGGAUAUUAGACAUGAUGUAAGGCUUAUGGAUUAUUAGCAUUAUCAUGAGUGACAGGGGCUACAGGAUUAAUAAAUCUUAUUCACAUAUUUUGGCCUUGGAAGGGUUUUCCAUGCCAUCCGUUAAAAAGGAACUGCCUGAAGGCAGCACACUCACAACUAGCUAGAUAGAGGAGCUUUAUUACCAAGAAUGUCUUUCUGAUCAAGAUCAUAUAUACAUAAUGUGGGAUGGAUGGAAGCAUUUAAGAAUUUCCUUGUGGGGAUUUUUAAAUCAUAGAUAAACUGACUCACCGCAUCAGUUCUGUACCAUCACCCAUCACAGGUCACUUUUAUAAAAUAUUUAAACUGUAUUACUUUUAUGGCACACAGAACAGAAAGAUGCAAUCAACAGCCUUAAAAAGCUGAGAGGCCCAAUGUCUCUUGAGACUUAAUUUCUCUAAUCCCCCAAUAUAAUUACUUUUAGUCUUUCCCAAGUUGAUGGGUAGUAACUGGAGACUAAUAAAUAUUCUUGUUUUAAGUUCAGAAAAACUCCCAGCUCUGGGAUGUGAUUGUCCAGUAGAUACUUUCACACUUUUCUUUCUAAAGAAAACUGAAGGAAUCAUUUGCACGAAAUCAUUUAAAUAGGGAAAAUACCUUAAGAGGAGAAACAACACAGGCAGAGGAGGAGAGAUUAGUUCACCCUGAGCCUGGUGAGACUUGCUGAACACUCAAUACUCCAGUGUAGGUGCUGGGGCACCCCCUAAAGACCUGGGGAGGUCUAAGUCCUGACCAGCAAGAGGUACAGCCAUCCUCAUCCAUCUGCUUUUCAAAGGAGGAAUCAGUAAGCCAGUCUCCAAAGGACUGACACAAGCACCUAAUAUUUGGGGCGCUGGACUCUUUUUUCACAGCAGUGGCCACCCAACACAGGUGCCCCAUUUUGUGGGGGAAGGUUGCAAAUGUUGCAAACCACAACUUUCUCACCCAGCACCUGUCAGUCCCUGUCCCGUGUGCUCCCUGUGGGGUGUCAGACACCCACACCAAACCUUCCUUGAUGUCUAGGGGACUGCCAGACCUCACCUGGGUGUGAGGCUUUCUCUUGGGAUACAGCUGCACGGGAGUCACCAAGAAAAUUUGACUGAGCUGAGUCAGAAACUAGACUCUCUGGAUCCCCCAUCCGGAUCUGUGAGCACACCCGUUCCUGCUCUGAGACACUGGCCAGCUUCUUCUGGAGCAAGUAGGGGCAAAGGCCCUUGGCACAGCGCCCUAAAUCACCUCCUGCUGCUGGACGAGGAUAGAAGGAUGCUACGUGGCAGACGAGUGAGCUCUUCUAGAGGGAAGCCAGGUUUGCAGGUUGCAAGGACAGCUGUGAGCCGCUUCAUGACUUAACUUUCUAAGCCAUAUAUGGAGCCCAACAGGAAAGCCUGAUCUGCUGUGAUGUCUGCCCAAGUCUUUCUUCAAGAGCCCUGCAACAGUGGGAUCUGUUUAAAGGCACCACAUUAGAAGCUCAGAGUAAAUGCGUACCGACAAGAAAUAAAAAAAUAAAUACACACAUACCCCAGGUGGCUAAACAGUAGCACAACGGAGGGAUUCAAAGCAAACAGACACCCUUCAAAAAGUAGAAAUCAAAUGCAGAAAUUAGGCAAAUUAGAUGCAAGACUACAAUAAGGCAGCCCCAGAAGAGAAACCCAAGGAGCUACUUGCUCACAGCGUGGAGGCUGACAAUAAACCCUUUCUCAAACACACCAGAAGCAGAAAGCCUGCCAGAAGAGCUGCUGUGGCCAGCACGCAAUCUCAGCGCAAGGAGGCCCAAGGAACAAAAAAAUCAGUAUUUUGCAAUGUUAUUCACAGGCAGUGUCUCAAAGAAGAAAUAGUAGUAGCUUAAGCAAAUCUGUUAAGAGCAAAAUGAGGUAAAAACCCACCCCAUUCUCCCCAUUUGUCGGGGUAAGGAGUCGAUACACGGGGGAGGGUGGGGGGGGCCAUGCAGCUCACCUCAACUAAGACUUUGCUGCUGCUCUAUAGGAAAGUUGGCAAAUAACGGUUCUGACGGAAAUAUUACGCAGGGGGUGCGAGUGAGGAGCCCUGCUCAGUAAUUUGCUGCCAAGGCAGGCGACACACAGGAUGGGCACGACCCCAUUCAAGGCAGAUGCUCAUCGUGGGGAGAAAACCAGGAGCAGAGCAGCAGUUUGAGCAGGGGCUCCAGGGAGCUCAUCCUGCCAAGGGAGCCUGGAAUGAGUUGGGUUUUUUGGAGCACAGCACAGAGGAAAACGGGAUAACCAGAUGGGCACAAGCAUGGGAGGAUUUUCCCAGGGGAGGUCAGCUUCGCAAGGCAUCAUGAGCCUAAAGAGAGGUGACUGCGGAGAAAAUCCCCAUGUCAGGGAUUGUAGGGUGGUGGGAGGACAUAGCAGGAGAAGGAUCCCUCUUUGUCUUGUUUCUUACAUUCCUCCCCAAACACAACACUGGAGAUUUGGCCUGAUGUGUCAGCCCAAGUGAAUUUCAAAGGUCACAGGAAAAGCCGUGAACGAGGGCUGGGGCUCCUGGGGUGACGUCCCAGUUUGUGGCCAGGAAGCCACUUCCGAUGACCAAGGAAACAUCUCCCUCAGUGGAAAAGGAGUCUUUAGCUUUGUGAUGUCCAUAAAAUUA
Chroicocephalus ridibundus (black-headed gull) is the source of this 4261-nucleotide RNA transcript. It is a transcript of the gene named divergent protein kinase domain 2B, with no coding region annotated. NCBI's taxonomy places the organism in Eukaryota, Metazoa, Chordata, Aves, Charadriiformes, Laridae. The transcript has 6 exons. The record is from RefSeq and is a predicted model, not a curated record.